Molecule: ribosomal RNA, 466 nt
Filed under: uncultured bacterium
Lineage: Bacteria
Description: partial 16S ribosomal RNA
Rfam family: Bacterial small subunit ribosomal RNA
Source: RNAcentral
GAUGAACGCUGGCGGCGUGCUUAACACAUGCAAGUCGAACGAUGAAGCCCAGCUUGCUGGGUGGAUUAGUGGCGAACGGGUGAGUAACACGUGAGUAACCUGCCCUUAACUCUGGGAUAAGCCUGGGAAACUGGGUCUAAUACCGGAUAGGAGCGUCCACCGCAUGGUGGGUGUUGGAAAGAUUUAUCGGUUUUGGAUGGACUCGCGGCCUAUCAGCUUGUUGGUGAGGUAAUGGCUCACCAAGGCGACGACGGGUAGCCGGCCUGAGAGGGUGACCGGCCACACUGGGACUGAGACACGGCCCAGACUCCUACGGGAGGCAGCAGUGGGGAAUAUUGCACAAUGGGCGCAAGCCUGAUGCAGCGACGCCGCGUGAGGGAUGACGGCCUUCGGGUUGUAAACCUCUUUCAGUAGGGAAGAAGCGAAAGUGACGGUACCUGCAGAAGAAGCACCGGUUAACUACGUG